CUCAGCUCAGGGAUCCAGCUUGCAUGCAGGAGAGAGAUUACAGUCGGAUCUGUGUUGUGGUCUGUUGAACAGCCUGACCCUUCAUGCACGGAUUAGCUCCAGUUACCAUUAAUGGAAAGUAGAGCAUUCGACCAGCCCACAGGCUCCUCUGAAGUCAUCCUGUGCAAAACAGUGCCUUCAACACCUGAAAUCUGAUCUCAGACUGGAGUCAGACAGAAAGAGGAGUUUGUUGUGCUGGAUCAACACUGCCUCCUGCAGACCGCUGGUGCUGAGCACAGAUUACAGAACAUUCACCAGCCAUGAAACUGCAUUUGGUGAAACUCGAGUUGCUAGAGAAUGAAGCUCAUCUCAUCUCUGAACCCAGACGCCCUUCGCAG
This is a long non-coding RNA of Cyprinus carpio carpio, 377 nucleotides long. The record is from Ensembl. Lineage: Eukaryota; Metazoa; Chordata; Actinopteri; Cypriniformes; Cyprinidae.